This 242-nucleotide ribosomal RNA is filed under the name uncultured bacterium. Its description in RNAcentral is "partial 16S ribosomal RNA". The record is from RNAcentral.
CUGCUGCCUCCCGUAGGAGUCUGGGCCGUAUCUCAGUCCCAAUGUGGCCGGCCAACCUCUCAGUCCGGCUACUGAUCGUCGCCUUGGUGGGCCGUUACCUCACCAACUAGCUAAUCAGACGCGAGGCCAUCUUCCAGCGAUAAAUCUUUGACAUUCAAACCAUGCGAUUCAAAUGCAUCAUGCGGUAUUAGCAGUCGUUUCCAACUGUUGUCCCCCUCUGGAAGGCAGGUUCCUCACGUCCG